ACAGGCUAGAUCAAAGACAAAGUGGAUGUUGAACGAUCAUCAAAGUGAUCAAUUAGAACUUCUACAUCAAUAUCAUAAAAAAAAAAUAUAUAUUAUCUGUGAGGGCUGAGUAAUAACUGGACAAAAACAACCUGUCUUUAAGAGAUCAGGUGCCCAAUGAAAAAUGAAUAAGAUUCUUUUUUUGCAGCUCAGCGGGACGGUCUUUUCUCUCACAUUUGACUGAUAAAAAAAUGUAUAACCAAAAGGCUUUGCUUCACACUUAAGAAAGUUAAGUUCAACUGCUCCAAAGGCAUGAAGUCUAUUUUAUACAGACUGCAUAAACAAAAUAAAUUAUGCUGAACAACUUUUUCUAUGCUUUAAGAAUGAUCUCCCACCUUGUUUUGGGGUCUGCCUGAAGCACUCCAAAAUUUCGACCUUUUGAGUCCAUGGUGAUAGUGACAGCUCUGUGGACAUAUGGGAGUUUCUCCAAGCGGAUUCUCUCAUACAGUGUCACCGCAUCUGAAUGGCCACAAACCUCCACACUGACUUCUGGAUGAAUACAACCCACAAGCCACUGAAACCCUCCCCGUCCUGAGUCACAAACAUCAUGCUGUUCUUGCUGAGAGCUAUGUCCGACAUGAAAACCUGACGUCCGUACGCCCACCGGCACUGUCUCACCGAGCUGCCGGAAGAACGCCAGCAG
Long non-coding RNA from Platichthys flesus (European flounder), 682 nucleotides. RefSeq lists it as uncharacterized. The record is from RefSeq and is a predicted model, not a curated record. NCBI's taxonomy places the organism in Eukaryota, Metazoa, Chordata, Actinopteri, Pleuronectiformes, Pleuronectidae. The transcript has 3 exons.